CAGUCAUAGCGUACCUAAUUAUCUGUGCAUGCACUCAGAAAGAAAAAACGUGUGUACGGGCGGGUGUUGUUUUUUUAUGGAAUAACGUUGCUCGUUUUUUAAAAAAAAAAAAAAAGGAAAAAACAUUAUAUGCCUGGGGUAUAAAAAGAGUGUAAUAUUCUGUUUUCAAUCAGAGUUAAACUACUCUUCUUUCUCGUAAGGAUUUCCCCAUUAAGGGAAACCAAAAUGCGCUCACGCUGUUUGUAAUGCAAUUCAAGGCCUGUGGAUUUUCGGAUAAAGCAAAUGUAACGCUAUCGGCAAUACUUUAAAAUAGACUCUAAAAAUGCCUUUCCUGUAAAGAAUUAGGUGGUGGGUUUUAAGCUACACACGCUGAAACGAGAUGUAAUACAUUUAAUAAUGUAGCACUUAAGACAGAACAUACAAAAUGUCUUCCGCAGAGAAAGCUCUCCAUACCUGGGGCUGCACAUUUUAAGAGAAGACUUUGAAAUAAAAGGUUCCUGAAAUUGAGGCAGAUGUAAGUGCGCUUACAGGCCGUAAUACAGCAAUGAGAUAUUGUAAAUCCUUGGAAAAGGUCCCCAUCACACGCAUUAUCUAGACCGCCAUAUACCUUAAAACUGUGUAAUUUUAAUUUUUUUGUUUUCCUAAUGCGAAGUUAAUUAGGCGAUCAAAGUUCCAGUUCCAAGCUGGCGGUAUGAUAGCUGAGCAGGGAAACGAGAUCCUCCUCCCCUCUUAAGGCCCAAUAAGCAUCUUGUGCACCUUGAUUUUUAAUAUUAGCGCUCUGCGCAUUUUGUAACCUUACACAAACAUAAGCAUGGAGGAAACGGAAUAUAAAGACACAGACGCAGCAGCGUGCCGCCAAAAAAAAAACAAAACCGGGGAAAUGGGAAAAAAGGGAAGGGGGAAGGGUGGCGGUUUUGAAAAACAAUAAAUAAAACCACAGAAAGGAGACAUCAAAGGAAAAGCCUGUAACUUUCAGUAAAUUAAAAAAAAUGCAAAUAUACCUUUACAUAUGCAUCAGUAUUAAAAAUAAUAGACGCUGGAGCCAACAGGAGCGGGAGGAGGAGGAGAGGAGAAUGGCGCAGCGCUGGAGCCGCCCGCUCCAGCCGGGCUUUUCUCGGCCCUGAUCGCUCAUUUCGGGGAUGUUUAUUUUGUUGAUGAUGAUGAUGGUGGUGAUGAUGUUUGGAAGAAGAGGGGAGGCCAGAUUUUCUGUUCCGUUAAUUAGGAUCUUCCGCAAUAGGGGCGAUGGCUCCGGGAAUCCGCGGUCUCUUCUCCCAGCAGCGGCAUUUGCAUAUUCUUUUUUUUCUUUCCUUUUUUUUUUUUAAUGCCCUAAUUUCCUUGAUGUAUGUAAAUGUGGCCGGACGUACAGUAUGCUUCGAGCUGACGUCAGUGGACGUGACCUCGCCGUUAAACCUUGAACGUGAAACGGGGAUGGGGGCGGGGGGGAUGCGGGGCGGCAGCGCAGCCGCGGAGACGCUGCGCGCUGCUCCGCGCCCCUGCCCGAUUAAAUGAGCUCUGCAACCAACAGCAAUAGCAACAACCCGCCCGCCCCCUCGCCCCGUGCGGCCCCAAAACAAAGCCCACCUCCCCGCAGCACCGCCGAGCUCGUCCUGCCUUUUUUUUUUUUUUUAAUUUUUUUGUUGUUUCGUGGUUGGUUUUUUUUUUUGUUUGUUUGUUUUUUUUUGUUUGUUUGCUGCUUCUCUUCAUCAGGCGGCAAGCGGGAAAUAGAAAACUCCAGGCAAAUUAAAAAAAAAAAUAAAUUAAAAAAUAACCCUUCAUCUGUCCCCAAAAUAUUGCAUAAGCCAGUGGAGGCGAAGCAUCCCUCCGGGUACCGCGAGGACGGGGCUGGGUGCGAGGGGGUUGCGGUGAUCCCCGCAUCCUUAUCGGCAGGAGGAGCGGUAUAAGCGGGGAGUGGGUGUCUGGUGGCGGAAGGUGACCGGUGUGAGGGUGCAGAAGAGCGGUUUGGGUUCCUCUUCCUUCCCUCCUCCUCGCCCCCCGUGUCUCCCUUUGGAGACGCCGCGGGGUGUGAGGAUGUUUGGAGAACUUUUAGCGCCCGGGGAAUUUCUGCCGGCGAGGCGGCGGGGUGAAACGCAACCGGCGGCUGGGAAGCGAGGGGUGUUCGCUGUCAGGAGCCGUUUUCUCUCCUUUUCUCCUGACGUUGUUAUUUAUUUAUUCGCUAGCCUGCUGUGAGAUGCUCCGGAGCAUCUCUCCGGACCUCGGCGGCGGCAACUGCCUCUCCACCCAAGCAUCUCAACUCGGCUGAAACGCCCACACCGGGGAGUAGGAACGCCAGAGUGUUUCUGGCAGGGGUGGAGCGGUGCAGACUUUUAUAAAUCCUCUCAGCAGUUGGAUUUAUUUUUUUUUUCCUGUGCAGGCGGGGGGGUUCCUCCUGAAUUCCCUCCGCUCGCGUUUGGCUCCUCACAGAGGUCUCUUUGUCCGCCGGGUCCCUCGGGGGCCACGCCGCCGGGGGAUGCCGAGGUACCAGAGGGAUACGGUGGGGCCGUCCCCACUGUCUUGUCCCCCCCGCCUCGAAAUCAGCACCCGGGGACGGCGGAGCGCCUCCCCGCUCCCUGCAGCCACCGUGCAUCCCUCCUCCAUCCCACCCUCCUCCAUCCCACCCUCCCCACACACCUCCUGCUCCGGCGCACACCCAAACUUCUCCCCGCCCGCCCUCUCCCCUCACUCCCCGCCCGCCUCCCGCGCCCUAAAACCCAGCCGGGGCUUUGACGGGCGUUUUCACGCUGUUUCCAAACCGGGAGCGAUGGACGAGGGGGGACAGAAGGAACCGGCAGCGCUUUCGGACAUCUUCUUUCCAGCGACGAAAGGUCACACCACAAGUUUGCAUGACAGCAGGGAUGGGAAGAGAAUCUUUUUUCUUAGUAGCGUGAUUUUUUCCUAAUUUUCUUUCUUUUUUUUUUUUUUUUCCUCCUCUUUCUGCUGUUGGCCGGCUGGUUGGUUUUGGCAGAAGUUGCACAAAAUGGAAAUGCCUCCCAAAAAAUAAGACUGGGAAGAAACUGUUCUUCAGAAGUUAGCUGGAGGAAAACAUCUUAUAAAACUUGACCUUUUGCUGCAAUUUCAUUAUUUUGUUUUUAAGUUUCCAAAGAAAUGUGCGCUUUCCUUCUUCUCUGGGAAAAGGUAGCCAUUGCUCUUCUUUAGACUAGACAUUUCCAAUUUGUUCCGUCUGUCAGAAUGGGACUGUGAGAGGUUUUGGUGCAAAUUCAUUAUCUCUGGCAACGCAUAACGUAUAGUAGGAACUGAAAAAGACCGUGGCAAUGGAUGAACAAUAGGGCUUCAGUUCAUCAGCAACAAAAGCGUUGGGGAAAUUGGUUGAAUUUCAGAGCACGUCCUCCUCAGCAGAGAGGGCUGGACUAGACCUUGGCCAACCCCCCAAAAAACUUGCAGAGCCUCACAUACAACACUUCACUUUCUACUCCGGGAAGCGUAGGAAGCAAUAUGGGAAAAGAGGAAAAAAAAAAAAAAAAAAGAAAAGGAAAAAAAAAAAAAGCCAAACCGAGGCCAACUUUCUGCGUUUGUCUCCACUUUUCCUGGAAGGAAGAUUUCUAACUCUUUUAGAGCCGUUCGCGCAAAGAAUGACACCGUGGAGCUAAGCGUCACUUUUAAAUAGGGAUGGCGAAGGGAAAGACGUGAAUUUCUGGAGACACGUAAAGCUUUCUCUGCUCCGAGGGGGCUUGGCCGUGGGGAUCUUUGUUUGCUACCGGCGGCUCGGCUCACACCCUAGACCUGGGGUCAAAUCUUUCUCUGAUGAAGGCGACGAAAUAUUUAGACAACGCAGACAGUCCACAGGGAGUGACACUCACGUGAAACGAGCAGUGUAUGGCUAGUGACCUGUCUUCCCAAGGAGAACAGCUGAGACAUCUGUUUGGAAUUAUUCCUGGGAUUAGACCAGCAUGAGGUCUCCUCUACCAAUCUGAGUUAUUUAAGAGGGACUGCAUUGAAAAUAUUCCUGGAGAAGAGGAAACAUAAACUUGCAUAUGGAUGAGGAUGAUCCAUUCACUGUUCUGUGGACCCCAGGUUCCUCGGAUGGAGUCACAAAUCUACCCAGUGCCCCUAUCAUAUCUACCGUCAGCACUGGAAAGGAAAUAUUCAUAAAAGCACUUAUCCUUAUGCAAUACCCAGCCAGAAUGCUGCCAGGGGGCAGGAGAUACUUCUUUCCUAGAAGGUCAUGUUGCUUCUGGACAUGAAAACCUGAAAAGUUUUGGAUUGCCUACCCAAAUUUUUCUGGACACUGCUGCUCUCAAGUUUCUAAAAUUCUCUUGAAGAUCUCUGAGAACAACAUGGAUGUGAUCAGCCAGCUCUAACUACAGGAGAAAUGGGGUAGGAAGCUGAUGGAGCAACAAACAGCCACCACCCCUGCUUCCUUUUCUUGUGUCAAUGUCUUGGAAAGCCAGAACGUCCACUGCUUCUGUGAUGGAGGGUCUGGUCCUUGAGGACUAUCAGUACUGGGGCUGAGGAGACAAACAUCACAGUCCCUUUUACCUUCUCUGAAGAGCAAUCUCAGCCCUUUCAAAGCUCUCUGAUGAGCUAUGCUGCGACUACAUGCUCUCCUUUGAUCUGGUACUGUCACUGGGUGAUGAAGUUUGGUUCUGUCCACAUGACAGAAACCUAGACCUAAUUUUGUGCGUGAAAGAGGUCGGUCAUGGAGACUGCUCAUGGUUGGUCCUGGAUAGUUCUCCUCAUCUACAGCACUACCAUGGCCAGUGUACUGCAAGUCUGUGCCUCAGGCCAGGCCACCAGGCAGAGGAGGUCCAGUCCUAUGGGUCUUCACAUUUAAUUCUUAAGGAAAAGUCAGUACCGUCCUGUCCCUGGAGGCUAUAAAGGGGAAAUGGAGUUUAGAACUGGCUCUCGACACUUGAUGCACGCUUGGCCAGAAGCUAAAGCGAAUCAGAAUAAACAUUCAGAAGAAAAUGCCAAAUACAAGAAAAUAACAGCAACUUAAUAUGAUUUAAUACCAAUAAAGUGGUUAAGGUUCGUGGAAACAAUACUUGCUCUUUCCUUCUUCUAAUAAAUUAAAAACAAUUUUAUAAUACAUUAGAGCUGGUGCAGCUCCUUCCAACUGGGGCUAUCCAUCACAGCCUGGGUGGAAACACUACUUUUUCUCCGUAUCAUGGCAGCCAAGCUGUUGAGGAAGGCUCGUGGCAGAGGACAGAUGGUAAUGAAGAUCUACGUGCUCUGUUCAAGAGCCCAUUCCUGCCAUUUUCUACAAUUUCCGUUGUGUUCUUUUACUGAAGCAACCAGAUCUUGCUCUAACAUGCACUGUGUGAUGCAGCCAUCCUGUCAAUCCACACCUCCAAAGUGGUUUUGGGUCCCAGUUUGCAAAGCCUGACCUUCAGCCGUGCCUAGCAGAACUAGCAGAGCAAAUUGUCUUCCUAUAAAUCACAUAUGGAGAGACCCCGCCGGUUCCCUACCUCUUCCUCCUCCCCUGUCAUCAUGUUUGGGUUUUCCACAGUAAGGAGUCACCGCAGCUGAGGUUUGACCUCAUGUUUGACUUCAUUGCCUGAGACCUUCCUGAUUCCUCAUCCACUGCCCAACCCAACUUCUUGGCCCCGCAAAUCUGACCUGUUUUAUGCAGAAUAGACAUGCUGUGGACUGAGUGGGUCUCCACCUUGUGGUAUUGGGUGGUUAGGCCACAUCCUGAGAGGCUGCAGGAAGGGAUAGAGCUCAGCAAGGUGAAGGUGUGAGAUGAGGUAUCUUAGCUGCAUUCCAUAAAAGCACUUAAGGUGGAUUACCGGGAAAUACAUCUCCAGUUCAGAAUGUUUUGGAAACAAAAUAUUUGGCAACAAAAAAGAAAACUUGGUCUUUAUCUGCACCAUGGAACAAUUUGAAGGCAGCAAUUGAUGAUAAACUGUAUAAUGAGAUGAGCACUUUGCAGGGGCAGGGACAGUUGUGCUUAUGGACAUCACGUGGCAUAAAAAAAUUCCUUGAGAGAGGGCACUACUGGAAUGUAAAAUAGGUAAAAAUCUGACUCUCAGUUUAUUUCCAUUACUGUUCUAAUUUUUUUUCAAGGAAUCAUCUAUCAUCCACAGCUUUUGAGCAAAUCGAAUGAAGCACAUUUAGCACAUGCACUGUUUCUGGUGCAUGCAAAAUUGCGAGGUGUGUGUGUUUCGUCGUGUUGGAGUACAGGUCUUGAGUCCUGAAGUUGGAGACAUGCAGGGAGAACCUGUAGAGACCUCAGAGUCUGUGAAUUUAAUGGCAUCUUCAGGCACCUGUGCAUUGCCCCAUGCAGGUCUGAGCACUUGACUGGGUUCUUCAAGUAGGAGGAAGUCUAAUGGGGUGAUACAGAGUUAAAGUAAACUGAAGAUGAAAAAGGUUCAAAAUACCCUUGGGAUGCAUGUACAACCACUGCAUCAAAAUAUUUAUUUACUUUUUCCUUACUGAUUUGUUCAUUUAUUUUAGCUGGGCUUUAAAGGCAACUUUUACUUGGGCCCUUUAGUGAUUUACCUAUCGCACUGCGUACUGAAAAUACAGCUCUUCUGCCAAAUUCAUAUUCACUAACUGUCUUGCUUGCUUGCAGCACCGUGGGGCCUAGUGGACAAAUAAGUUACUGACAUCGUUUCUUUCUAAACACAUACAGACUUCAGAAACAGGCUGAUUUAUAGCCAGUCUUAAUUUUGAAAUGGAAAUCAACAGGGAAAAACUAUGAUCAGUACCUAAAGCAUUAUUUUCCUGCUUUAUAAUAUUUAUAAAUUACAUCUUAAAAUUAAAAACCAGAUUGUUUCUAUGAAAUGUGAUUACGUGUAUUUCAUUCUUUAAAGGUUUCCUAGAGAACUAUCUUCAUCUUCUCUAUGAAAUUACUGUUUUUUCAAAAUUUCUUGCUUUAUCUUUUUUUCUUAUGCUCAGCAAUAGCAUUAUCGCUUUAUAUUAAACAAAAGGUAAAAUCCAAUGAAAAAGCGCGUAAGACAGUUUCAAGUCACUUGUAUUUUUAUUGUUAUCUUACGAGAAUUUUGUAAGUAUAAGGUUUAGCUUUUUAGAAAUCCUGUGGAUCCUUUGCAGACAGAAUCUUUGUUGAAAUUACAGGAAAUAUUAUAAAACUGAGAUGUGAGUUUAACGCUGUGUGUGUGUAACACAGCACCUGAUCAUUUUUCAUGUUAUGUCCUGCUAGCUAUUCAGAACACUUUUUCCACCAAUACUAGUUAACUUUUGGUGUAAUUAAUGCAUAUGUCUUUCACAAUUUUUGUAACAAAAUAAACAGCUCAUAUUGCUUAAACAUAA
This is a long non-coding RNA of Chroicocephalus ridibundus (black-headed gull), 7227 nucleotides long. RefSeq lists it as uncharacterized. Lineage: Eukaryota; Metazoa; Chordata; Aves; Charadriiformes; Laridae. The transcript has 7 exons. The record is from RefSeq and is a predicted model, not a curated record.